AUGAAAAUGCUCAGUUGGAACUGUCGAGGGCUGGGACAACUUCGUACGGUUCAGGAGCUUGUGUGUCUGACUAAGACGCACCGUCCCAAUGUUAUCUUUCUUUCUGAAACUAGGAAAAAUAAAGAGUAUGUUGAGCUUUUCUACCGGUUGGGCAUGAAUAAUGUGUUUACUGUUUCUGGCCAUGGUAAAGGUGGAGGUCUAUUCGUGUUUUGGGAUGGAGCAUAUUCUUGUGAACUGAACAAAUAUGGUGAACAUUUUGUGGACAUGUAUGUCAACAAGGGUGAUGGUACAAAGUGGAGGUGCACAUUUAUUUAUGGAGAGCCUAAGGCGAGCUAG
Molecule: ribosomal RNA, 336 nt
Filed under: Triticum aestivum (bread wheat)
Lineage: Eukaryota; Viridiplantae; Streptophyta; Magnoliopsida; Poales; Poaceae
Description: partial small subunit ribosomal RNA
Source: RNAcentral